Molecule: small nuclear RNA, 98 nt
Organism: Papio anubis (olive baboon)
Lineage: Eukaryota; Metazoa; Chordata; Mammalia; Primates; Cercopithecidae
Source: Ensembl
UUGGCAGCACAUAUAUUAAAAUUGGAAAGAUACAGAGAAGAUCAGCAUGGCCCCUGCACAAGGGUGACAUGCAAAUUCAUGAAGCAUUCCAUAUUUUU